AGUAGUGAUCGUGAAUCAUCGAAUCUUUGAACGCACUUUGCACCUUGUGGCUUUUGUCACAAGGUAUACUUGUUUGAGUAUCCAAAACUACCUCACCUCCCUUUCGGGGCGAGAUGGACUUGAGACUCGAUGCCUAUUGUCACAUGGUGACAGUGUGUCGUUUCUUUAAAGGUGGUGGUCAUCUAUUGUGGAAGGUCUCCGUCUGGAACCUGACAGACUAUUGGGAUAACAUCCUGACGAUCGUUUGUCGGUUCCAUUGUAUAGGCGUUGACUGACCUAGACCAACAAGAUGAAGACAGUCUGUCUCACAGGAUAUGGCUUCACGUCCUUUCUAUUGACAUCACAUGUCAUGUGUGAUGUCGUAUAGAGAUGGACAAGUAUCAAUGGAUCUCAAAUCAAGUAAGGAUACCCGCUGAACUUAAGCAUAUCAAUAAGCGGAGG
Molecule: ribosomal RNA, 441 nt
Filed under: uncultured Diversisporales
Lineage: Eukaryota; Fungi; Glomeromycota; Glomeromycetes; Diversisporales
Description: eukaryotic LSU rRNA
Rfam family: 5.8S ribosomal RNA (bases 1-83)
Source: RNAcentral